GGGUCAGUCUGAUCACCACUGCUGGUCUUCUCAUAUGAUGAUAGUCAGCUGACGUCCAGACCUCCUCAGCUCCCACUGUAGUGACCUCAGGUUCCUCCUCUCACUCUCACUGAUCUCGUUACCACACAACCUCAGUGCCUCUAAUUUACAGUUGUCACUCCUGAGCCCCUCACUCAGCUGACGAGCCCCUGAAUGUCCCAGCUUGUUGUUGCUCAGGUUCAGAUAUGUCAGCUGUGAGUUUGGAGACGAGAGGACCGAGGAGAGAGCUGAGCAGCAGGCUGAGGUGAGACCACAAGACCACAACCUGUGGAGAAGAAGAGAGACGAGUGAGGACAGACAGACAGACAGAAGGACACACAGCACAAGGGCUCAAUGACUGCGCCGUCUUCACUGAAAUGCACUUUGACCCUGAGACCACCGCUGUCCUUAUAAGGUAAGGCGCUAUAUACC
Long non-coding RNA from Erpetoichthys calabaricus (reedfish), 450 nucleotides. RefSeq lists it as uncharacterized. Lineage: Eukaryota; Metazoa; Chordata; Cladistia; Polypteriformes; Polypteridae. The transcript has 3 exons. The record is from RefSeq and is a predicted model, not a curated record.